CCUACGGUGGGCAGCAGUGAGGAAUAUUGGUCAAUGGGCGCGAGCCUGAACCAGCCAAGUAGCGUGAAGGAUGACUGCCCUACGGGUUGUAAACUUCUUUUAUAAAGGAAUAAAGUGAGGCACGUGUGACUCUUUGAAUGUACUCUAUGAAUAAGCAUCGGCUAACUCCGUGCCAGCAGCCGCGGUAAUACGGAGGAUACGAGCGUUAUCCGGAUUUAAUGGGUUUAAAGGGAGCGUCGAUGGGUUGUUAAGUCAGCUGUGAAAGUUUGUGGCUCAACCUACAAAUUGCAAUUGAUACUGGCAGUCUUGAGUGCAGUUGAGGUAGGCGGAAUGCGUGGUGUAGCGGUGAAAUGCAUAGAUAUCACGAAGAACUCAGAUUGCGAAGGCAGCUUACUGGACUGCCACUGACAUUGAUGCUCGAAAGUGUGGGUAUCGAACAGGAUUAGAUACACUUGUAGUC
This 460-nucleotide ribosomal RNA is filed under the name uncultured bacterium. Its description in RNAcentral is "partial 16S ribosomal RNA". It matches the Rfam family "Bacterial small subunit ribosomal RNA", at positions 338 to 795 of the family's 1533-position model. The record is from RNAcentral.